Molecule: long non-coding RNA, 835 nt
Filed under: Homo sapiens (human)
Lineage: Eukaryota; Metazoa; Chordata; Mammalia; Primates; Hominidae
Description: HSALNT0405572
Source: RNAcentral
GCGCCGCCGCUGCCAACCCGGAAGGAGCCCGGAGGGGCCCGGGCGGCCAGGGCGCCCCCGCCAGGAGGCCCGCCAGGUGUCCACCUGAGCCCCACGCCCUGCGCCGCGGGGCCCUUUUGGGGGCGGGGUGCCAGCUCCGAGGUGUCCUCCCACGGGCUGUAGACUGGGAAACUGAGGCCCGGGCCACGGUCCCAGACGCAGCCGGGACCCGAACCCACCUCACCUGAGCGAAUGAUAUCCGGGACUCAUCCUUUUUCGACACCUUUGCGGGAUCCAGCCCUCCAAGGAAAGCUUCCUGAGCAGUGCGCGCCACGUGUAUUGGGCACCUCACCGCGGCCACUUCACAUCCUAUCUCAGGUGGAGAAACUAAGCCACAGAAAGGAGCUGUCAUUUACCUAAAGCACCGUGGCAGGGGUUUGGCAGAGCCAGGAUUUGUACCCAGAUCGCCUGACUUCGGAGAGUAACAGCUCUUAACCACAGCACUUCGGUCUAUGCCUUGAUUUCACCAUAUGUAACAAGCAGCUGUGCCACUUUGCAUUCCCACCAGCAGCACGCAAGCGUUCGAAUUUCUCCGCACGCUCCCCAACAGGACAAGAGCUUGCCGUGUUGCCCCAGGCUGGUCUCAAACUCCUAGCCUCAAGCAAACUUCCUGUCUCGGCCUUUCAAAACCCUGAGAUUACAAGCAUAAGAAAAGAAAAUCUUGUAAGAUGAAAGCUGAAGGAUGAGAGCAAUUAAUUGAUGAAGUAUGAUGAUCCAGGUGUCCCUGGGUGAAGAAACAACCUCUACAAAGGCCCUGAGACAGGGUCUCGCUCAUCACCAGGCUGGAGUACAGUGA